Mycena metata is the source of this 93-nucleotide non-coding RNA. NCBI's taxonomy places the organism in Eukaryota, Fungi, Basidiomycota, Agaricomycetes, Agaricales, Mycenaceae. The record is from the annotation of a GenBank genome assembly.
GACUCCGUAGCAUAUGGUAUGUGUCUGCUGCCCUUGAUUGCUUGAAGAAGUUCGAGUCAGCGGAAGAGCCUGGUUCGAAUCCGGGCGGGGUCU